Molecule: ribosomal RNA, 495 nt
Filed under: uncultured bacterium
Lineage: Bacteria
Description: partial 16S ribosomal RNA
Rfam family: Bacterial small subunit ribosomal RNA
Source: RNAcentral
UGAACGCUGGCGGCGUGCCUAAUACAUGCAAGUCGAGCGAACGGACGAGAAGCUUGCUUCUCUGAUGUUAGCGGCGGACGGGUGAGUAACACGUGGAUAACCUACCUAUAAGACUGGGAUAACUUCGGGAAACCGUAGCUAAUACCGGAUAAUAUUUUGAACCGCAUGGUUCAAAAGUGAAAGACGGCCUUGCUGUCACUUAUAGAUGGAUCCGCGCUGCAUUAGCUAGUUGGUAAGGUAACGGCUUACCAAGGCAACGAUGCAUAGCCGACCUGAGAGGGUGAUCGGCCACACUGGAACUGAGACACGGUCCAGACUCCUACGGGAGGCAGCAGUAGGGAAUCUUCCGCAAUGGGCGAAAGCCUGACGGAGCAACGCCGCGUGAGUGAUGAAGGUCUUCGGAUCGUAAAACUCUGUUAUUAGGGAAGAACAUAUGUGUAAGUAACUGUGCACAUCUUGACGGUACCUAAUCAGAAAGCCACGGCUAACUACGUG